This 497-nucleotide ribosomal RNA is filed under the name uncultured bacterium. RNAcentral's name for it is "partial 16S ribosomal RNA". It matches the Rfam family "Bacterial small subunit ribosomal RNA", at positions 28 to 507 of the family's 1533-position model. The record is from RNAcentral.
GAUGAACGCUGGCGGCAUGCCUAACACAUGCCAGUCGAGCGAACAGAUCGUGAGUUCUCUCUCCUGACGUUAGCGACGGACGGGCGAGUAACACAUGGAUAGCCUACCUAUCAGACUGGGAUAACUACGGGAAAUCAGAGCUACUACCGGCUAAUAUAUUCUACUGCUUGGUUCAAUAGUGAAAGACGCUUUUGCUGAUUCUUAUAGCUGGACCCGGGCCGCAUUAGUUAGUUGGUAAGGUAACGGCUUACCAACGCUACGAAGCGUAGCCGACCUGAGAGCAUGCUGCUCCACAUUGUAUCUGAGACACGGAAGAGACUCCUAAGGGAAGAAACAGUAGGGAUUAUUCCACAAUGGGCGAAAGCCGGACAGAGCAAUAUGGCGUUGGUGAUGAACCUCUACGGGUCGUAAAGUCCUGUUAUUGGGAAAGAAGAAAUGUUGUUGUAGCAACGGACGUAAUGACGGUACCCAAUCAAUAAGCUCCGGCUAACUACGUG